This 482-nucleotide ribosomal RNA is filed under the name uncultured bacterium. RNAcentral's name for it is "partial 16S ribosomal RNA". It matches the Rfam family "Bacterial small subunit ribosomal RNA", at positions 29 to 507 of the family's 1533-position model. The record is from RNAcentral.
AUUGAACGCUGGCGGCAUGCCUUACACAUGCAAGUCGAACGGUAACGCGGUUUCGGGUGGCGCCGAGUGGCGCACAGGGGCGGAAUAGUUCGGAAUGUGCCCGAUUGUGCGGGAUAACGGGGGGUAAGAUUUGGUAAUUUCCGCUAAUAACUCAUACUACAAGCAGGGGAAAGCACGGGAUCGCGCGGCCGGGGGGGACGAUGGGAGAUUAGUUAGUAGGAGGGAUAUAGGGGUACCAAGGCGACGAUCUGUAGCGGGUCUGAGAGGAUGAUCAGCCACACUGGGACUGAGACACGGCCCAGACUCCUACGGGAGGCAGCAGUGGGGAAUAUUGGACAAUGGGCGCAAGCCUGAUCCAGCCAUACCGCGUGCAGGAUGAAGGCCUUCGGGUUGUAAAGUGCUUUUGUACGGAACGAAAAGCCGCCUUUUAAUACAGGAGGGUCAUGACGGUACCGGAAGAAUAAGCACCGGCUAACUACGUG